This is a long non-coding RNA of Arabidopsis lyrata subsp. lyrata, 840 nucleotides long. RefSeq lists it as uncharacterized. Lineage: Eukaryota; Viridiplantae; Streptophyta; Magnoliopsida; Brassicales; Brassicaceae. The record is from RefSeq and is a predicted model, not a curated record. The transcript is spliced from 2 exons.
UAGAAGAAGAAUCCCACAUAGAUGAUGAAAGUGGGAAUCGAGGUACUAAAAGCAAAGUUAGGCAAAGUGAAUCCCACCAGCCACACUAAUUCUACUAAUUAGAUAAAGUGAAGAGAGAUGCCCGAUGGAGAAAAGGUGGCCUGCGUUACCAGAGCUUCCGGUUACAUAGUGUCUUGAAUGUCAAGCUUUUACUCCUCCGUGGCUACAACGUCAAUGCCACCAUUCAAGUCCCAAGUUUGGUCCUAUAUGAAAUUACGUACUAAGAAUGCAGAAACAUCAAAGAAAACAAAGGUGAGUAUAAUGGUUUAAAAGUAAGCUGUGGUUUUUGGUGUUUGGUGAUGUUUAUUAGCGUUUAGGUGUAGAUUAUUUAUAGGCUCAACAUUAGGUCGAUAUCCGUAGCUUAUCACGCAAAACAAAAAUCCUAAAUAGCAACUAAUUAAGGAUAAAAUCUUUCAAAUCUACAGUAAUAUGGAAUAUGCCAAGAAUAUGGUAAUUUAUGAGUCAUAAUUUUUUUUUAUCUUAAAUCGAUUUUGUAGAGAUAUUAGAGAUAUGAUGAGUGAUUAGUUACAAGAAUAAUAUAUACUGGAAUCUUGCUUUUGGAAAGAAAACGUAUAGAUUUUUAAACAAUGCAUCAUUAGUUUGUUUAUGAAAUUGUAUUGUUAGAGAUCUUGUUGAUUUGAAAUAUCCAAAAUGAUUUGUUGGUAGUAAUUAAAUUGAUUUGUAACAAAAAUCAAUUUUAAGGGAUUGUAAAUUAUAGAAAGUAUUCAACGACAAUUAAUGGAGAUAUUUGAGGGAAUGGUUGUUAUUUCCUAAAUCUUUUAGUUGAUAUUUAAAAAGUAA